CCUACGGGUGGCUGCAGUAGGGGAUAUUGCACAAUGGGGGAAACCCUGAAGCAGCAACGCCGCGUGGAGGAUGAAGGUUUUCGGAUUGUAAACUCCUUUUGUUAGAGAAGAUAAUGACGGUAUCUAACGAAUAAGCACCGGCGAACUCCGUGCCAGCAGCCGCGGUAAUACGAAGGGUGCGAGCGUUACUCGGAAUAACUGGGUGUAAAGAGCGCGUCGGCGGGUAAGCAAGUCUGAUGUGAAAUCCUAGGGCUUAACCAUAGAACUGCAUUUGAAACUGUUAUUCUAGAGUAUGGGAGAGGUAGGUGGAAUUCUUGGUGUAGGGGUGAAAUCCGUAGAGAUCAAGAGGAAUACUCAUGGCGAAGGCGACCUGCUAGACCAUAACUGACGCUGAGGCGCGAAAGCGUGGGGAGCAAACAGGAUUAGAUACCCUUGUAGUC
RNAcentral lists this ribosomal RNA (440 nucleotides) under uncultured bacterium. RNAcentral describes it as "partial 16S ribosomal RNA". It matches the Rfam family "Bacterial small subunit ribosomal RNA", at positions 338 to 795 of the family's 1533-position model. The record is from RNAcentral.